GACGAACGCUGGCGGCGUGCUUAACACAUGCAAGUCGAGCGGUAAGGCCCUUUCGGGGGUACACGAGCGGCGAACGGGUGAGUAACACGUGGGUGACCUGCCUUUAGCUCUGGGAUAAGCCUGGGAAACCGGGUCUAAUACCGGAUAUGACUCCGCGGCGCAUGUUGUGGGGUGGAAAGCCUUGUGCGGCUGGAGAUGGGCCCGCGGCCUAUCAGCUUGUUGGUGGGGUGAUGGCCUACCAAGGCGACGACGGGUAGCCGGCCUGAGAGGGCGACCGGCCACACUGGGACUGAGACACGGCCCAGACUCCUACGGGAGGCAGCAGUGGGGAAUCUUGCGCAAUGGGGCGAAAGCCUGACGCAGCGACGCCGCGUGAGGGAUGAC
This 384-nucleotide ribosomal RNA is filed under the name uncultured bacterium. RNAcentral's name for it is "bacterial SSU rRNA". It matches the Rfam family "Bacterial small subunit ribosomal RNA", at positions 28 to 412 of the family's 1533-position model. The record is from RNAcentral.